UUAGGGUUAGGGUUAGUGUGAUUGACAGUGUGAUUGAUUAAGUGUUUCCUUCAUUUCUUGAGCAGUAUAUAUCCGUACGUCACUGCUGUGAGAACAAGCAGCUCACACGUCUGACUGGACAUGCGGGAUUCACGGGACUUGAUUUCAGUGGAGAGCACUGAAUACCCCGUCCUUCUCUGUUUGACACCAACUGGAACGCCAGCGUAUAACUCAAAGCAGGGAAUGUGUGUAGGAUGGAGGGAAGCGCGAACAUGCUGGGAGAGAUGAGGACAGAUACCAACACCUGUGCAUGCUUGGACAUGACUCGAGCAACAUAACGACAUGGCAUAUUUGUAAUUAUCAUUCAUGACUAUCAUUAUGUACUACAUGAGCUGCGCUUUUCAUCCAGUGCAUUGUAUGUUUUUUUCUGUCAUCCAGAAAGGUAUUUUUAUAUGACCUACUUCUUAGCAAGUCAUGCUUAAGGGCACUUAAUGUAAACCCUACAUAACCCUACUAUGGUUUACGGUGACUUAUCACAUUGCACCAGAAACGACUUCAAAUUUCCUUUUAAACGGAAUGAAUCCCACAUUGUUCGACUGUUGUUGUGAAGUAAAUUGCAGGGAUUUAUAAAACGAAUUGAAUAAAAAAGACACAGUUAUGGUGAUAAAUCAAA
Long non-coding RNA from Dunckerocampus dactyliophorus (ringed pipefish), 652 nucleotides. RefSeq lists it as uncharacterized. The transcript is spliced from 3 exons. NCBI's taxonomy places the organism in Eukaryota, Metazoa, Chordata, Actinopteri, Syngnathiformes, Syngnathidae. The record is from RefSeq and is a predicted model, not a curated record.